AGAGGAGAGGAGUGAAUGUGUCAUAGCAACUGAGGUAUAAAUUACAGGCUGAUGUCGAUGAAGAGAGGAGACAAAAACACAAUCGAAGCAGAAUCUUUUUCUGGAUUGUUUACAAAAAUACUUAAGAGACAGGAGAUUUAUAUUGACGUCCACUGCUGCACUGAGAAACUUGAGAAACUGGAGAGAGCAGAGUCCUGCUCAUCGAAUGCAAUAGUUUAGUUUUAUGUUGAAGAAGUGUUUGUGUACAAAACGUGUACAGUCCUGGAUGAUUUCUGAACUCUUCUGCUACGGUAUGUUUUUCCCCCAUGGACUGAAAGGAAAAUGGACUUCUUCGAGGGAAAAAAAAAAUAUUCUUUUGCGGUAAUCAUGGACACGUCGUCCGCCAAGUAAUCAAUAGAAGGUGCCAGGGACUUCCAAACCUUCAACCAGCAUUGCCAGCUAUGCAAGAACGAGGAGGGGAGCACCAAUCAGAGAGCUUACCCAAACAAAUCAACAAUGAGCACUAUGAAUGUCUGAGAAGAAAAAAAAACUGCUAACAUCAAUCAUUUAAAAAUACUUUUUGCUCUCCUCUCUACAAUAAGAUUGUAAGCAGCUAAAAAUUCACAAAAAAGCCUUAAAAUAAUUAAAUAGAGUGCUAUGUUUGUGCCCAGGGUCUUCUUGGAUUGUUUUUUUGAGAAUUUAAUCAACAUGGAAAGUAAAAAAAGAAGAAAUGAAAAAUAACUUGCAGAACUGUGCCAGCAAGAUCCAAGUGGAAGUUAAGUUGACUUCUUUUAUGCAACACGGCCCAUGAGU
Sinocyclocheilus anshuiensis is the source of this 792-nucleotide long non-coding RNA. RefSeq lists it as uncharacterized. The record is from RefSeq and is a predicted model, not a curated record. The transcript has 2 exons. Lineage: Eukaryota; Metazoa; Chordata; Actinopteri; Cypriniformes; Cyprinidae.